Non-coding RNA from Erpetoichthys calabaricus (reedfish), 74 nucleotides. The record is from the annotation of a RefSeq genome assembly. NCBI's taxonomy places the organism in Eukaryota, Metazoa, Chordata, Cladistia, Polypteriformes, Polypteridae.
GGCUCUGUGGCGCAAUGGAUAGCGCGUUGGACUUCUAAUUCAAAGGUUGUGGGGUUCGAGUCCCACCAGAGUCG